UCCAAGUAAAUCCACUAUAGCGAGUCAUCUGACCAAACAGGACAUAAAACUGUAACUCGUUUGAGUUGCUCUUGAUUACAAAGUUUGAUAUUUUGAUCUAACUUUUGCAAAACAGUCAGCAACCCAACCUCUCAAUGUUUAGUGUAAAGACUUCCAGAUUCUCCUCCAGCAGAGAUUUUAGAGGUAAAUGUAACGACAAUGAACUAGACCUCAAAGGCAAGUGUCCACCUGUGUGUAGGACUACUGACGAGAAACACAAAACUAUAGCCAGGUUCUAAUUACAAGCAGCCGCAUUCCAUAACUUAUCACUCUAACUCUAUUAACAAUGGCAAACUCUUUAACAAUGUUUUAGUUCCUUAUGAUAAAAGACACUCACAGGAUAACUGUUCUGCAGUCUGCAUCUUCUUUUUACCAAAAU
Non-coding RNA from Pelobates cultripes (western spadefoot toad), 418 nucleotides. NCBI's taxonomy places the organism in Eukaryota, Metazoa, Chordata, Amphibia, Anura, Pelobatidae. The record is from the annotation of a GenBank genome assembly.